GACUCUCGGCAACGGAUAUCUCGGCUCUCGCAUCGAUGAAGAACGUAGCGAAAUGCGAUACUUGGUGUGAAUUGCAGAAUCCCGUGAACCAUUGAGUCUUUGAACGCAAGUUGCGCCCUAGGCCCUACGGUCGAGGGCACGCCUGCCUGGGCGUCA
This 156-nucleotide ribosomal RNA is filed under the name Meliosma alba. Its description in RNAcentral is "5.8S ribosomal RNA". It matches the Rfam family "5.8S ribosomal RNA". Rfam says of the family: 5.8S ribosomal RNA (5.8S rRNA) is a component of the large subunit of the eukaryotic ribosome. The record is from RNAcentral. Lineage: Eukaryota; Viridiplantae; Streptophyta; Magnoliopsida; Proteales; Sabiaceae.